AGUGGGAUGGUGUAAUGGUAACACAGAAGAUUUUGAUUCUUCUAUUGUGAGUUCGACUCUCGCUCCCACCGCCA
RNAcentral lists this transfer RNA (74 nucleotides) under Caudoviricetes sp. RNAcentral's name for it is "tRNA-Gln". It matches the Rfam family "tRNA". From Rfam's summary of the family: Transfer RNA (tRNA) molecules are approximately 80 nucleotides in length. Their secondary structure includes four short double-helical elements and three loops (D, anti-codon, and T loops). The record is from RNAcentral. Lineage: Duplodnaviria; Heunggongvirae; Uroviricota; Caudoviricetes.